CCCUUAGAUGUUCUGGGCUGCACGCGCGCUACACUGAAGCUAUCAACACGUUUUCCCUCCCUGAGAAGGGCGGGUAACCUUUUGAAUCAGCUUCUUGGUAGGGAUCGGGGCUUGCAAUUGUUCCCCGUGAACCAGGAAUUCCUAGUAGACGCGAGUCAUAAGCUCGCAUCGAUUAAGUCCCUGCCCUUUGUACACACCGCCCGUCGCUACUACCGAUUGAACGUUUUAGUGAGGCAUUUGGACCGACGCAUCUCAGUUUAACCGCUGGUUUGUGUUGGAAAGACUUCCAAACUUGAGCGUUUAGAGGAAGUAAAAGUCGUAACA
This 324-nucleotide ribosomal RNA is filed under the name uncultured eukaryote. RNAcentral describes it as "partial 18S ribosomal RNA". It matches the Rfam family "Eukaryotic small subunit ribosomal RNA", at positions 1470 to 1796 of the family's 1831-position model. The record is from RNAcentral.